Molecule: ribosomal RNA, 267 nt
Filed under: uncultured bacterium
Lineage: Bacteria
Description: partial 16S ribosomal RNA
Rfam family: Bacterial small subunit ribosomal RNA
Source: RNAcentral
GUCCACGCCGUAAACGAUGGGUGCUAGGUGUCGCUGGCUUUGACUCCUGCGGUGCCGUAGCCAACGCAUUAAGCACCCCGCCUGGGAAGUACGGCCGCAAGGCUAAAACUCAAAGGAAUUGACGGUGGCCCCGCACAAGCGGUGGAGCAUGUGGUUUAAUUCGACGCAACGCGAAGAACCUUACCUGGGCUAGAAAACGCAGGAACCUGGUAGAAGUAUCGGGGUGCUCUUCGGAGAAUCUGUGGUUAGGUGCUGCAUGGCUGUCGU